This 372-nucleotide transfer-messenger RNA is filed under the name Anaerovoracaceae. RNAcentral describes it as "RUG099 sp902774195 Standard tmRNA". It matches the Rfam family "transfer-messenger RNA". From Rfam's summary of the family: Bacterial tmRNA, also known as 10Sa RNA or SsrA, is named for its dual tRNA and mRNA-like properties. Its role is to liberate the mRNA from a stalled ribosome. The record is from RNAcentral. Lineage: Bacteria; Bacillati; Bacillota; Clostridia; Peptostreptococcales. RNAcentral also lists the same sequence under 1 other name.
GGGGGCGUAAAGGUUUCGACAGGUGUGUGGAACGAAGAUAAGCGAGCCGUGGUGGUGAUCCACGCUAAAAGUACCCGUUUAAAAGAAACGCUAAAACUUCAAACAACUUCGCACUGGCUGCAUAGUUCAGCCCCGCGCGUCGGCCUCAGGUCACCUGCAGCCUGAGAGUCACCUGCAGCCUGAGAACCCGGCGUCAUCAAUGCAGGGACCUCUUGCGUGAGUGCCCGGUAGCGUAAGAGUACCCACGGGAUAGCAAACCCCAAGUCUGCCGUAUCGGCGAGGGGCGCGUGAAACAACAGCGAUCGGCUGCGCUCGGAGAAAGUUUUCCGGAAAUGCUCUUGGACGUGGGUUCGACUCCCACCGCUUCCACCA